This 287-nucleotide long non-coding RNA is filed under the name Ananas comosus (pineapple). RNAcentral's name for it is "long non-coding RNA (ACOM_LNC001017)". The record is from RNAcentral. Lineage: Eukaryota; Viridiplantae; Streptophyta; Magnoliopsida; Poales; Bromeliaceae.
GCAGAAACAUCAUCAUUCACAGGCAAUACAAACGGAGAAUCAUUAUCAUCAUCAUUCACCAAGGAAGUAGAAGAACCAUUCACAGAAAAACUUACAGAAGAAGCUUCAUCUACUUUUAUAUUGAUAGAUUCUAUCACCGUCUUAGAUCGUAAAUUAUACGCACGAUAAGCACGACUUGUAGUAGAAUAACCAAGAAAAAUCCCUUCGUCACUUCGAAAGUCAAAUUUUUCAAGAUUUUCACGAUCCCGAAGGAUAAAACAUUUACUCCCGAAGACACGAAAGUAUUU